This 491-nucleotide ribosomal RNA is filed under the name uncultured bacterium. Its description in RNAcentral is "partial 16S ribosomal RNA". It matches the Rfam family "Bacterial small subunit ribosomal RNA", at positions 28 to 507 of the family's 1533-position model. The record is from RNAcentral.
GAUGAACGCUGGCUACAGGCUUAACACAUGCAAGUCGAGGGGAAACGACGGGGAAGCUUGCUUCCCCGGGCGUCGACCGGCGCACGGGUGAGUAACGCGUAUCCAACCUGCCUCUGACUGAGGGAUAACCCGUCGAAAGUCGGCCUAAUACCUCAUGGCAUCGUCUGCGGGCAUCCAACGACGAUUAAAGAUUUCAUCGGUCAGGGAUGGGGAUGCGUCUGAUUAGCUUGUUGGCGGGGUAACGGCCCACCAAGGCUACGAUCAGUAGGGGUUCUGAGAGGAAGGUCCCCCACAUUGGAACAGAGACACGGUCCAAACUCCUACGGGAGGCAGCAGUGAGGAAUAUUGGUCAAUGGGCGGGAGCCUGAACCAGCCAAGUAGCGUGCAGGAUGACGGCCCUAUGGGUUGUAAACUGCUUUUAUGCGGGGAUAAAGUGAGGGACGUGUCCUUCAUUGCAGGUACCGCAUGAAUAAGGACCGGCUAAUUCCGUG